UUAAGCGACUAAGCGUACACGGUGGAUGCCCUGGCAGUCAGAGGCGAUGAAGGACGUGCUAAUCUGCGAUAAGCGUCGGUGAGGUGAUAUGAACCGUUAUAACCGGCGAUUUCCGAAUGGGGAAACCCAGUGUGUUUCGACACACUAUCAUUAACUGAAUCCAUAGGUUAAUGAGGCGAACCGGGGGAACUGAAACAUCUAAGUACCCCGAGGAAAAGAAAUCAACCGAGAUUCCCCCAGUAGCGGCGAGCGAACGGGGAGGAGCCCAGAGCCUGAAUCAGUGUGUGUGUUAGUGGAAGCGUCUGGAAAGGCGCGCGAUACAGGGUGACAGCCCCGUACACAAAAAUGCACAUAUUGUGAGCUCGAUGAGUAGGGCGGGACACGUGGUAUCCUGUCUGAAUAUGGGGGGACCAUCCUCCAAGGCUAAAUACUCCUGACUGACCGAUAGUGAACCAGUACCGUGAGGGAAAGGCGAAAAGAACCCCGGCGAGGGGAGUGAAAAAGAACCUGAAACCGUGUACGUACAAGCAGUGGGAGCCUCUUAAUGGGGUGACUGCGUACCUUUUGUAUAAUGGGUCAGCGACUUAUAUUCUGUAGCAAGGUUAACCGAAUAGGGGAGCCGAAGGGAAACCGAGUCUUAACUGGGCGUUAAGUUGCAGGGUAUAGACCCGAAACCCGGUGAUCUAGCCAUGGGCAGGUUGAAGGUUGGGUAACACUAACUGGAGGACCGAACCGACUAAUGUUGAAAAAUUAGCGGAUGACUUGUGGCUGGGGGUGAAAGGCCAAUCAAACCGGGAGAUAGCUGGUUCUCCCCGAAAGCUAUUUAGGUAGCGCCUCGUGAAUUCAUCUCCGGGGGUAGAGCACUGUUUCGGCAAGGGGGUCAUCCCGACUUACCAACCCGAUGCAAACUGCGAAUACCGGAGAAUGUUAUCACGGGAGACACACGGCGGGUGCUAACGUCCGUCGUGAAGAGGGAAACAACCCAGACCGCCAGCUAAGGUCCCAAAGUCAUGGUUAAGUGGGAAACGAUGUGGGAAGGCCCAGACAGCCAGGAUGUUGGCUUAGAAGCAGCCAUCAUUUAAAGAAAGCGUAAUAGCUCACUGGUCGAGUCGGCCUGCGCGGAAGAUGUAACGGGGCUAAACCAUGCACCGAAGCUGCGGCAGCGACACUAUGUGUUGUUGGGUAGGGGAGCGUUCUGUAAGCCUGUGAAGGUGGCCUGUGAGGGUUGCUGGAGGUAUCAGAAGUGCGAAUGCUGACAUAAGUAACGAUAAAGCGGGUGAAAAGCCCGCUCGCCGGAAGACCAAGGGUUCCUGUCCAACGUUAAUCGGGGCAGGGUGAGUCGACCCCUAAGGCGAGGCCGAAAGGCGUAGUCGAUGGGAAACAGGUUAAUAUUCCUGUACUUGGUGUUACUGCGAAGGGGGGACGGAGAAGGCUAUGUUGGCCGGGCGACGGUUGUCCCGGUUUAAGCGUGUAGGCUGGUUUUCCAGGCAAAUCCGGAAAACCAAGGCUGAGGCGUGAUGACGAGGCACUACGGUGCUGAAGCGACAAAUGCCCUGCUUCCAGGAAAAGCCUCUAAGCAUCAGGUAACAUCAAAUCGUACCCCAAACCGACACAGGUGGUCAGGUAGAGAAUACCAAGGCGCUUGAGAGAACUCGGGUGAAGGAACUAGGCAAAAUGGUGCCGUAACUUCGGGAGAAGGCACGCUGAUAUGUAGGUGAAGCGACUUGCUCGUGGAGCUGAAAUCAGUCGAAGAUACCAGCUGGCUGCAACUGUUUAUUAAAAACACAGCACUGUGCAAACACGAAAGUGGACGUAUACGGUGUGACGCCUGCCCGGUGCCGGAAGGUUAAUUGAUGGGGUUAGCGGUAACGCGAAGCUCUUGAUCGAAGCCCCGGUAAACGGCGGCCGUAACUAUAACGGUCCUAAGGUAGCGAAAUUCCUUGUCGGGUAAGUUCCGACCUGCACGAAUGGCGUAAUGAUGGCCAGGCUGUCUCCACCCGAGACUCAGUGAAAUUGAACUCGCUGUGAAGAUGCAGUGUACCCGCGGCAAGACGGAAAGACCCCGUGAACCUUUACUAUAGCUUGACACUGAACAUUGAGCCUUGAUGUGUAGGAUAGGUGGGAGGCUUUGAAGUGUGGACGCCAGUCUGCAUGGAGCCGACCUUGAAAUACCACCCUUUAAUGUUUGAUGUUCUAACGUUGGCCCCUAAUCGGGGUUGCGGACAGUGUCUGGUGGGUAGUUUGACUGGGGCGGUCUCCUCCUAAAGAGUAACGGAGGAGCACGAAGGUUGGCUAAUCCUGGUCGGACAUCAGGAGGUUAGUGCAAUGGCAUAAGCCAGCUUGACUGCGAGCGUGACGGCGCGAGCAGGUGCGAAAGCAGGUCAUAGUGAUCCGGUGGUUCUGAAUGGAAGGGCCAUCGCUCAACGGAUAAAAGGUACUCCGGGGAUAACAGGCUGAUACCGCCCAAGAGUUCAUAUCGACGGCGGUGUUUGGCACCUCGAUGUCGGCUCAUCACAUCCUGGGGCUGAAGUAGGUCCCAAGGGUAUGGCUGUUCGCCAUUUAAAGUGGUACGCGAGCUGGGUUUAGAACGUCGUGAGACAGUUCGGUCCCUAUCUGCCGUGGGCGCUGGAGAACUGAGGGGGGCUGCUCCUAGUACGAGAGGACCGGAGUGGACGCAUCACUGGUGUUCGGGUUGUCAUGCCAAUGGCACUGCCCGGUAGCUAAAUGCGGAAGAGAUAAGUGCUGAAAGCAUCUAAGCACGAAACUUGCCCCGAGAUGAGUUCUCCCUGACUCCUUGAGAGUCCUGAAGGAACGUUGAAGACGACGACGUUGAUAGGCCGGGUGUGUAAGCGCAGCGAUGCGUUGAGCUAACCGGUACUAAUGAACCGUGAGGCUUAACCUU
Molecule: ribosomal RNA, 2902 nt
Filed under: Escherichia coli
Lineage: Bacteria; Pseudomonadati; Pseudomonadota; Gammaproteobacteria; Enterobacterales; Enterobacteriaceae
Also listed under: 1 other name
Description: bacterial LSU rRNA
Rfam family: Bacterial large subunit ribosomal RNA
Source: RNAcentral